Long non-coding RNA from Oncorhynchus tshawytscha (Chinook salmon), 277 nucleotides. The record is from Ensembl. NCBI's taxonomy places the organism in Eukaryota, Metazoa, Chordata, Actinopteri, Salmoniformes, Salmonidae.
CUAUAUCACGCCAGGCGGCGCUCCUAUAUCACACCAGGCGAUACUAUAUCACGCCAGGUGCUCCUAUAUCACGCCAGGCGGCGCUGUGUCACGCCAGGCGAUACUAUAUCACGCCAGGCGGCGCUCCUAUAUCACGCCAGGCGGCGCUGUGUCACGCCAGGCGAUACUAUAUCACGCCAGGCGGCGCUGUGUCACGCUAGGCGAUACUAUAUCACGCCAGGCGGCGCUCCUAUAUCACGCCAGGCGGCGCUCCUAUAUCACGCCAGGCGAUACUAUA